Molecule: long non-coding RNA, 854 nt
Organism: Cololabis saira (Pacific saury)
Lineage: Eukaryota; Metazoa; Chordata; Actinopteri; Beloniformes; Belonidae
Exons: 2
Source: RefSeq, a predicted model, not a curated record
UCAAGUUCAGGACAACCUGGACAAGUGAUGAAAAGAUCCUAAAAAGUGGCCUUGACUACAUCAAGCGUCAUCUGAAGGAUCAACCCACAGUGCAUCCAGGUGACACCGGCCCCCAGUCUUCAGAUGAGGAGGACUUCUUCUCCCCCAUCAAGAGGGGUAAAGCCCAUGAAAACACCAAUCAGCUCGAGUCCUACCUGGCCAACCCAGAUGAUGCCAAGGGUGUCCUCAAAUCUUACCCAGCAGUGUGCCACCUGUCUCUCAAACUCAACACCUCUCUACCAGCCUCAGCUGCCUGUGAGAGGCUUUUUAGCACUGCAGGGGCUGAUUCUCCGUCCCAAAAGGGCACGCAUUGGCUCAAAGAACUUUGAGAACCAGCUUCUGCUGAAGCUUAACAAAACCUUUUGGUAGUCCUGAGUUGAGUCAAUGUAUGGGGUUGUGUUGUGAUUUGUGUUGCUGCCUGGUUCGGUUCCACAGCCCUCACUCACAUCAAUGGAUCUCUCGUUCAAGUUUCUGAAGUUUGUUAUGCAACACUACCUGCAGAGAACACUACCUUCUCUCACCUUUGUUUCAGACAGAAAGUGUACAGUUACUUUCCUGUGCUGUUUUUUUUUUGUUCCCCUUUCCAUCUCUCCCCUAUAUUUGAAAGGAAUGUUUUUGGUACUAAACAUUUGCAGUAAGUAGACUAUAAGCUACAUCUUGUAUGAUGCUACAUUCCUGUAGGCUACUUGCUCUGUUGUGGUUUUGUUCUCGGUUCCACUUAUUUUGUUGUCUCUCCCUGAGUGAACCAAAGCAAAUUUCAAUCAACUGUUGUUGAGAAACUAUGUUGAAAUGGCAAUAAAUUCUUGAAUAUUGAA